CCUACGGGAGGCAGCAGUGAGGAAUAUUGGUCAAUGGACGAGAGUCUGAACCAGCCAAGUAGCGUGAAGGAUGACUGCCCUAUGGGUUGUAAACUUCUUUUAUAUGGGAAUAAAAUGUUGCACGUGUGGGACUUUGUAUGUACCAUAUGAAUAAGGAUCGGCUAACUCCGUGCCAGCAGCCGCGGUAAUACGGAGGAUCCGAGCGUUAUCCGGAUUUAUUGGGUUUAAAGGGAGCGUAGGUGGGUUGUUAAGUCAGUUGUGAAAGUUUGCGGCUCAACCGUAAAAUUGCAGUUGAAACUGGCAGUCUUGAGUACAGUAGAGGUAGGCGGAAUUCGUGGUGUAGCGGUGAAAUGCUUAGAUAUCACGAAGAACUCCGAUUGCGAAGGCAGCUCACUGGACUGCAACUGACACUGAGGCUCGAAAGUGUGGGUAUCAAACAGGAUUAGAUACCCGAGUAGUC
This 460-nucleotide ribosomal RNA is filed under the name uncultured bacterium. RNAcentral describes it as "partial 16S ribosomal RNA". It matches the Rfam family "Bacterial small subunit ribosomal RNA", at positions 338 to 795 of the family's 1533-position model. The record is from RNAcentral.